AGAGUUUGAUCAUGGCUCAGGAUGAACGCUAGCGGCAGGCUUAAUACAUGCAAGGCGAGGGGGCAGCAAUGUCACCGUCGUACGGGUGCGUAACGCGUAUGCAACCUACCUUCAACUGGGGGAUAGCCCGGGGAAACCCGGAUUAAUACCGCAUAAUACAGGGGGCUCACAUGAGUCUAUUUGUUAAAGAUUUAUUGGUUGAAGAUGGGCAUGCGUUCGAUUAGCUAGUUGGCAGGGUAACGGCCUACCAAGGCGACGAUCGAUAGGGGAGCUGAGAGGUUGAUCCCCCACACGGGCACUGAGAUACGGGCCCGACUCCUACGGGAGGCAGCAGUAGGGAAUAUUGGGCAAUGGAUGCAAGUCUGACCCAGCCAUGCCGCGUGCCGGAUGAAGGCCCUCAGGGUUGUAAACGGCUUUUAUUCGGGAAGAAGAGCAGGGAUGCGUCCUUGUGUGACGGUACCGAAGAAUAGCAUCGGC
RNAcentral lists this ribosomal RNA (477 nucleotides) under Flexibacteraceae bacterium JJ-1781. RNAcentral's name for it is "bacterial SSU rRNA". It matches the Rfam family "Bacterial small subunit ribosomal RNA", at positions 8 to 497 of the family's 1533-position model. The record is from RNAcentral. Lineage: Bacteria; Pseudomonadati; Bacteroidota; Cytophagia; Cytophagales; Cytophagaceae.